CACGAGCGAGAGAGCGCCGCCAUCAACCGCAUCCUUGGACGCAGGGUCAGACUAGACCUGCACUAGACCUAGACUAGACCUAGACUAGACCUACACUAGACUUACAGUAGACCUGUACUGAAGCUGUUACUUGUUACUUUCAAUUCUUUGGUAGUCUUGCGCCAUCUGCACCUCAGGGCUAAACCAGGGCCAAACUAGGACUAAAACAGGAUUAAAACAGGACUAAAAUGGGACUAAAGCAAGACUUAAUCUAGCCUAAAAGAUGACUAAACAUAAACCUGACCUCCCAGUCAAAAAGAUUGACUGGAUUCCAGACCAAGAAAAAGUCUCUGUAUGUAUGGAGGGAGUCAGUGGAACGCUCUGUCUCGUGCUGAACAGUCCAAAUACUUUGACUUGGCCCAGAGGGAGAGACUGUUGCACCUGCAGCUGUACCCGGGCUGGUCCGCCAGAGACAACUACGGGAAGAGGAAAAGGAAAGACAACCAGAGGAAAAUUACACUCAAAAUAUCAUCAUCUUUGGAAAAUUGCUUGUCUCCAUGAAGAUUUGAUUGAAAUGUUCCAC
This is an RNA transcript of Boleophthalmus pectinirostris (great blue-spotted mudskipper), 562 nucleotides long. It is a transcript of the gene named transcription factor 7-like, with no coding region annotated. The transcript has 3 exons. The record is from RefSeq and is a predicted model, not a curated record. Lineage: Eukaryota; Metazoa; Chordata; Actinopteri; Gobiiformes; Gobiidae.